Molecule: non-coding RNA, 72 nt
Organism: Chiloscyllium plagiosum (whitespotted bambooshark)
Lineage: Eukaryota; Metazoa; Chordata; Chondrichthyes; Orectolobiformes; Hemiscylliidae
Source: the annotation of a RefSeq genome assembly
GGGCUUGUAGUGGAAUGGUAACGCGUCUGACUCCAGAUCAGAAGGUUGCAUGUUCAAAUCACGUCAGGCUCA